UCCGUCGUGGCUCAGAUGGUAAAGCAUCUGCCUACAAUGCAGGAGACCUGGGUUCGACCCCUGGGUUGGGA
RNAcentral lists this transfer RNA (71 nucleotides) under Ovis aries (sheep). It matches the Rfam family "tRNA". Rfam says of the family: Transfer RNA (tRNA) molecules are approximately 80 nucleotides in length. Their secondary structure includes four short double-helical elements and three loops (D, anti-codon, and T loops). Lineage: Eukaryota; Metazoa; Chordata; Mammalia; Artiodactyla; Bovidae. The record is from Rfam by way of RNAcentral.